UGGAGAGUUUGAUCCUGGCUCAGGACGAACGCUGGCGGCGUGCCUAAUACAUGCAAGUAGAACGCUGAAGGGAGAGCUUGCUCUUCUGGAUGAGUUGCGAACGGGUGAGUAACGCGUAGGUAACCUGCCUGGUAGCGGGGGAUAACUAUUGGAAACGAUAGCUAAUACCGCAUAAUAGUAGAUGUUGCAUGACAUUUGCUUGAAAGGUGCAAUUGCAUCACUACCAGAUGGACCUGCGUUGUAUUAGCUAGUUGGUGGGGUAACGGCUCACCAAGGCGACGAUACAUAGCCGACCUGAGAGGGUGAUCGGCCACACUGGGACUGAGACACGGCCCAGACUCCUACGGGAGGCAGCAGUAGGGAAUCUUCGGCAAUGGACGGAAGUCUGACCGAGCAACGCCGCGUGAGUGAAGAAGGUUUUCGGAUCGUAAAGCUCUGUUGUAAGAGAAGAACGAGUGUGAGAGUGGAAAGUUCACACUGUGACGGUAUCUUACCAGAAAGGGACGGCUAACUACGUGCCAGCAGCCGCGGUA
Molecule: ribosomal RNA, 533 nt
Filed under: Streptococcus mitis
Lineage: Bacteria; Bacillati; Bacillota; Bacilli; Lactobacillales; Streptococcaceae
Description: bacterial SSU rRNA
Rfam family: Bacterial small subunit ribosomal RNA
Source: RNAcentral